CAAAUCAGGUAGGAUUACCCGCUGAACUUAAGCAUAUCAAUAAGCGGAGGAAAAGAAACUAACAAGGAUUCCCCUAGUAACUGCGAGUGAAGCGGGAAAAGCUCAAAUUUGUAAUCUGGCGGUCUUUGGCCGUCCGAAUUGUAAACUAGAGAAGUGUUAUCCGCGCUGGACCGUGUACAAGUCCCCUGGAAUGGGGCGUCAUAGAGGGUGAGAAUCCCGUCUUUGACACGGACUACCAGGGCUAUGUGAUGCGCUCUCAAAGAGUCGAGUUGUUUGGGAAUGCAGCUCAAAAUGGGUGGUAAAUUCCAUCUAAAGCUAAAUAUUGGCGAGAGACCGAUAGCGAACAAGUACCGUGAGGGAAAGAUGAAAAGAACUUUGGAAAGAGAGUUAAACAGUACGUGAAAUUGCUGAAAGGGAAACGCUUGAAGUCAGUCGCGUUAGCGAGGGAUCAGCCUUACUUUUGUGGGGUGUACUUCCUCGUUGAUGGGUCAGCAUCAGUUUUGGCUGCUGGAUAAAGGCUAGGGGAAUGUGGCAUCUUCGGAUGUGUUAUAGCCCCUGGUUGGAUACAGUGGCUGGGACUGAGGAACUCAGCACGCGCAAGUUGUGCUUAGGAUGCUGGCAAAAUGGCUUUAAUCGACCCGUCUUGAAACACGGACC
RNAcentral lists this ribosomal RNA (657 nucleotides) under Hohenbuehelia grisea. Its description in RNAcentral is "eukaryotic LSU rRNA". It matches the Rfam family "Eukaryotic large subunit ribosomal RNA", at positions 1 to 667 of the family's 3401-position model. Lineage: Eukaryota; Fungi; Basidiomycota; Agaricomycetes; Agaricales; Pleurotaceae. The record is from RNAcentral.